CCGACCUUAGCUCAGUUGGUAGAGCGGAGGACUGUAGUCGUCGCAGAUAAAUCCUUAGGUCGCUGGUUCGAAUCCGGCAGGUCGGA
Molecule: transfer RNA, 86 nt
Filed under: Panicum miliaceum (proso millet)
Lineage: Eukaryota; Viridiplantae; Streptophyta; Magnoliopsida; Poales; Poaceae
Also listed under: 2 other names
Rfam family: tRNA
About the family: Transfer RNA (tRNA) molecules are approximately 80 nucleotides in length.
Source: Rfam by way of RNAcentral